Molecule: long non-coding RNA, 1379 nt
Organism: Fundulus heteroclitus (mummichog)
Lineage: Eukaryota; Metazoa; Chordata; Actinopteri; Cyprinodontiformes; Fundulidae
Exons: 3
Source: RefSeq, a predicted model, not a curated record
GGGAAAAACGGCAGACCAGGGCUGCAUUUGGUGGGGGUGUGAGUGCCAUGCUGUAGGCUGUAGGACAGUCGGGACAGUGCAAGGUGUUGCUACUGCUAGGUGUGGUUUGGAUUACAGAGAGGGAAGAGCAUGCAUAGUGAUAAUGGUGGAGGCCGCAGGCCGUUGGAGGCAGCUUAGAAAUCUCUUACAUCUGGAACAGCCGUAAUUCGUGGGAUUUGGCCUGACAGCCAUGACAGUCAUCGGGGCGGCCGACAACAACUGUCUCCUGUGUUAGCGGCAGCCGUGCGUAUGCGUGUGUAUAAAGCAUGAACUGAAGUGGAUGAAAUUAUCUUUGGAAAAUCUUUAUUGUGUAAAUGUGUUGCUUUUUUUCCCCUCUUUCAUUCUAAGGAUUGUUAUGCUGUAAAACUGCUAAGUUCAGACACGGUACACAAAUACAUGCAUCUUACUAGGCUACUGCUUCCUUUUCAUGAGAAGAUGUUGAACACUCAUGCAGCCCAUAAGCUACUCAUACAGACAAAAAACACACAUGUACACGCCGUCUCCACUGAUGUUGAACUCAUGUUCCACCUCUCUUUCUUUCUCUCUGGAUGAGGGAAGUGAAAUGGGCAUUUACAAGACAUAUUUUCCUUUUAUAUAAAUAUCCGUGAGUGUAUUAAAGCAAAUGUGUGAAAUAUUCAUAAACUGAGCCAUAUGUAAUGAGUAUCUGCCUUUAAUGGCUGACCGUAUCACUGGGGGUAGAUUUAAUAUCUUAACACAGCCACCAUCCGGGGCACGAGGUCUUUGGGGGGAAAGUUAUUUUGAAUCAAGCUUUAGAUGAAUGCACAGCAUCAUGCGGAUCUGUUCAGAAUCCAAGAAAGGAUGUUAAAAGAGAAGGAUUAAAAUGUUAAAAAAAUAAAAGUGUGGCAUUUUAUAAAUACGUACAUAAAUACUUUCAAAUACAUUUUAUUAUUUUACACAUGCUAUUAGUGAUUUGUGCAUUUUUGGCCAUAAGGUUUCCUGAAUAAGAGUUAGUGCAUUGGUUUAAAAUAAAAAAAAAAAAUAUAUGACAAAAAUAGCUGAACAUGCCUGAGUUUGCCAAUGGGCGGCAGCAGGGGAAACAUUAAUAGUAUUGUUCAGACAAUCAGAGGGAUAAAUAGGGGGUGGGGACUGAGUAGUACAUGUAUGGUUCAUAACAAUAGGAACAUUUAAAUGGCUAAACAGAUGAGGGACCACCUGAUUUGCAAUAUACCAGAUUGGUAUGUAGCAAGUCGUUUGUUUGUUAAAAUUUGUAAGUUUUGACCCAAGUGUUAACUUAAUUAGAGAUAUAUUAAAUGAUUUUUCAGGUCAAUAUACAGCACUCGGUGCGCAUGGAUGCUCCGUGCGGGCUGCCCUUCUUAAAA